AUUUAUUAUAGUUCUAAUUGUUAAUUGUUAUCUGGCGAACCGAGAAACUAUCUGAAAGUGCUUGGCGGUUCAGAGAAGCUUCGAUGGUAGUGGUGAACUUGUAAAGGAGAAGUGCAAUAACACCAGCUGUUAAACCUCCCAAGAGUGCCUGAGCAGGUGAAGGUGGAGUCUUGGCAUCGAUUGGCGUUGGCGUAAUAGCUUUCAAACUCUCCACUGCCUCCUCCUUCAACGUUUUCUUCGCCCCCGUUGACCUAAGUUUCAGUUCUUUGGCUCGUUUAGCGCGGCGGCGGAGGGAGCGGAAGAGGAAAACCGAUAUAGCUCCGGUGAGGAGAAGACUGGUGGCGGUUUGAAGCGGCGAAGGGUCAUCAGAAGUAGCAAAAACAUCCGUUAUUGAAGAUGGGAGCUCAAUGGGUCCUUCCUCCGGUGGCGCGUUGGUUAUUUCAUCGCCGGAAACAACCGUUUCAUCUGGGGCUUCAGCUAGCAACGACGACGGCGCGUGUGAUUUAGUGACUGAUACAGAACGGCGCGUGGAGUUGGAUUUGUGAAGGGAAUUGUGAAAUGGAGUGAGAGAAGUAAUGGGGUUGGGAGGAAAAGUGAGAAGGAAG
Molecule: unclassified non-coding RNA, 605 nt
Filed under: Hevea brasiliensis (rubber tree)
Lineage: Eukaryota; Viridiplantae; Streptophyta; Magnoliopsida; Malpighiales; Euphorbiaceae
Source: RNAcentral